AGUGAACGCUGGCGGUAGGCCUAACACAUGCAAGUCGAACGGCAGCACAGUAAUUUCUUGCUCUUACUGUUUGCGAGUGUCGUACUUUUGCUGUAUACAUCCGAAUCUACUUUUUCUUGUGUGAUAACGUAGGGAAACUUACUCUAAUACCGCAUACGUCCUACGUUUGAAAUCAUGUGAUCUUCUUACCUUUCUCUUUUUAAUUAGCCGAUGUCGGAUUAUCUAGUUGGCUGGGUAAAGGCCCACCAAGUCGACGAUCCGUAGAUGGAGUGAGAGGAUGAUCAGCGAAACUGGAAGUGAGACACGGACCAGAAUCCUACGGGAGGCAGCAGUGGGGAAUAUUGGAAAAUGGGAGAAAGAAUGAUAAAGAAAAAACGCGUGAGAGAAGAAGGAGUUAGGGGAGUAAAGCAAAGUUGUUGGGAAAGAAAAGAAGCAGGAUAAAAAAAAGAUGUAAUGACGGUAACAAAAGAAUAAGCAACGGCUAACUACGUG
RNAcentral lists this ribosomal RNA (492 nucleotides) under uncultured bacterium. RNAcentral describes it as "partial 16S ribosomal RNA". It matches the Rfam family "Bacterial small subunit ribosomal RNA", at positions 29 to 507 of the family's 1533-position model. The record is from RNAcentral.